AUUGAUUAUGUGGGAAGAAUGCUAGAUGCUUGUGUGUAAUGAAUGAUCCAUCGAAUGUGAACAAGACCUUGUUGAUGAAAUCCCAUGAUGAUUCUUAAGUUUUCUAGUACAUGAUCCAUGCAUGCUAGUUUGUCCGUUUGUUGAUGGGGUACUCUAUUUUUCAUUCUGAUACUGGCUUAAUCUGUGGAACUAUCUAAUUUAUGGAAAAAUCUCACAGACAAAAGACAAAAACUGAAUUCUCUUCUUAGUGGACAUUGGUCAAUGAGGUAGUGUUCGAGCUGUCUUCUCUGUUGAUGGUCUGAUUGGCUGAAGUGAUGAGAUACAUCCAUGCUUGGUUCUUGUAGUGGUUCUUGACUGGCUUUCUGUUGGGAUGGUGAUUAUGUUAGUUGCAGUGGCUUCAAGGAGGUAGUGUUCGAGCUGUCUUGUCUGUUGACGUUUUGCUGGCUGAAGUGAUGAGAUAGUCUCGUGCUUGGUUCUGGUAGUGGCUAGCUCUUGACUGGUGUUUUGUUGGGAUGGUGACGACAGAUAGGGUGCUUGGUUAGGCUGUUUGUAGUGGAUCUUGAUUGGUGUUUAGACAUUUCUUUCUCAGCUUGUUUGGCCGCUAGCUAGUUUAGAUUAUGUUCCUCUCUUGUCUGUAUGUCACGUGUCAUAUAACAGAAUCUUGGAACCUCGUAAAAGCUUCAUAUGGAUGGUUCCCCUAUGGUUUGCCAUUAAUUUUUGGCAAGCAUUCAACUUCCAGUGGCAGUCUAACCUUUUGGCUUUUCUGAUUGUUUAAUGUGGUGGUACAAUGUAAGUGGCAAUCUGGCAUUGCUGCAUACCUGAUUGUUUAGACAUAUAUCUAUCUAAAAGAUAUAUGCAUGGUCGUCAUUAGCUUUGUCACUAUAAUUAUUACUCUUGUCAUUGUGUGUUUUAAGUUAGUCUCAGAUAAACAAAGGGAAACAUGCAUAUUUUCUCCUAUGCAAUCAAAAUUCUCUUGUAGUGCAGAUUACUUCUCUCGUUUGUAAUUAGAGUUCUCUUGUACUGUAGUGUCAGGACCCAGUUAAACUUAACUGAUGUAGAGAUUUUACGGGCGGCGACCUUAACACCCACUCUUGAGCACCUUUGCACACUACACUACUUGGGAUAUCAAACUUGUGGAAACUUAACACUUUAUUCACUAUUUCAAUGUUACUACAACACUCUCUUUAGUGGCUACCCUACACACAACCCUACCAUGGUAGCUCACUUCUCUACUUGGUGUGGUGAUACACUACUUGUGGUGAUUGUGGUACACCUAUGAGGUGGGGGCAUCCCUAUUUAUACUUGUACAAGACCAUGUGGUACAUCACACUACAAUUUUCUUGAAUACUCUUCAUGUAUCCUAGUUCUAGAGAAUUCUCACUUAUUCUUGAAACUUAUCUUAACUAUGUCCUUCCAUGGUAAAUUGCAACAGUUUUCAAGUAAUCUCUCAAGGCUUCUAGAAUAUUCAUAUCUUCUCAUAUUCACUGGAAAGCUCCUUGUAAAUAUCUUCUCCUCCACUAAUCCAAGGUAUUCUAGCAUCUUCUCAAAUAUGCAUAACUAAUUCCCAAUACUCUCCAAUUAUCCAGAAUGUUCCAGAAUAUUCUCAAGUAUGCAUUGCUAUUUCUCAACACUCCCCCUCGAUGCAUACUUGACUCCCAAUCAUCUCUUCAAUGAUGUCCUUGGAUCUUCUGAGCUCUUCCAUUGUGAACUUUCUUCUUUUCUUCGUGCAUUGAGUUCUUCUUAACCUCAUUGCAUUUUCGCAGCUCAGUUCUCUUCUUUGUCCUUAUCCAAACUUGACCUUUUGUUAUUUCCAUGUAUGAAGAUACUUGAGAAAGGGAACCACGAAAAUACCUCGGAU
RNAcentral lists this long non-coding RNA (1858 nucleotides) under Brachypodium distachyon (stiff brome). RNAcentral describes it as "long non-coding RNA (BDIS_LNC005352)". The record is from RNAcentral. Lineage: Eukaryota; Viridiplantae; Streptophyta; Magnoliopsida; Poales; Poaceae.